Molecule: ribosomal RNA, 426 nt
Filed under: uncultured bacterium
Lineage: Bacteria
Description: bacterial SSU rRNA
Rfam family: Bacterial small subunit ribosomal RNA
Source: RNAcentral
UAGGGAAUAUUGGACAAUGGGGGCAACCCUGAUCCAGCCAUGCCGCGUGAGUGAAGAAGGCCCUCGGGUUGUAAAGCUCUUUUGUCCGGAAAGAAAAGCAUUCGGUGAAUACCCGGAUGUUCUGACGGUACCGGAAGAAUAAGCACCGGCUAACUUCGUGCCAGCAGCCGCGGUAAUACGAAGGGUGCAAGCGUUACUCGGAAUUACUGGGCGUAAAGCGUGCGUAGGUGGUUGUUUAAGUCUGAUGUGAAAGCCCUGGGCUCAACCUGGGAAUGGCAUUGGAAACUGGGCAGCUAGAGUGCGGUAGAGUGUAGUGGAAUUCCCGGUGUGGCAGUGAAAUGCGUAGAGAUCGGGAGGAACAUCUGUGGCGAAGGCGACUGCCUGGACCAGCACUGACACUGAGGCACGAAAGCGUGGGGAGCAAAC